Molecule: long non-coding RNA, 1036 nt
Filed under: Homo sapiens (human)
Lineage: Eukaryota; Metazoa; Chordata; Mammalia; Primates; Hominidae
Description: HSALNT0034541
Source: RNAcentral
AUUAAAAUGAAGUGAAGAAACUUGUCCCUAAAGAGUACUUGCCUGUUAAGAAACAUCUCAUUUUAAUUAUGUAGUAAUGGAGAUGGGGAUCACCUUCUUGUUUUGUUUUGAGAUGAGUCUCACUAUGUUGCCCAGGUUGGACUCAAAUUCCUAGGUCAAGAGAUCUUCCACCUUGGCCUCCUGAGUGGCUGGGACUACAGGAGAUCACCUUUUCAAAGCUGAAUAUCAAAGUCAGAAAAUCAACUAAAUGAAAGGCUGGAAUGCAAUGGCGUGAUUAUAGCUCAAUGCAUCUUCAUCUCCCUGGGCUCAAGCAAUCUUCCAAGCUCAGCCUCCCAAGUAGCUGGAACUACAGGCAGAGGAGUCCCUCCCUGUGUCCACCACCAUCACAAGCCCAGGGCAAGUACUGCUAGAGGGCUGCCUAUGAUCAGAUCUUCUGAGAACAUCAGAGAAAGACUGUCCUUGCAAUCUACACUACAGCAAGACUUCAGGACCUUGAACUUCAGGUUCAUAAUCUCACAACUGAGAAGGAUCCUUCCACACUCUUGGAACAGUGCACCCAUUGGAACUCUGAAGGUUAAGCUCACCAGGAAAGUUUCUCUCCAGAAGAAGAUAACACCCUUAAUGUGAACAGCUUUUCCCAAAAUCACGGAUUGAAACUUCUCUACACUCACGAGACUCUUAUCUUUGAAUAUUUUCCCUUGGUUAUGCUUCUGUGAACAAUAGACGUGAAAAGGGAGUCUGUUGUGUGCACUUAUGGGGCACACUUUUAUGUGUGAAGGAUUUUUCAGCCAGCCUUAUAUAUGGAUGACCUUAUAGUUUAAGAGAUAAAAGACAAAGACCCAAUGCAGUGUGAUAGGCAACCUUGAAAUGGCCCCAGAUAAUCCCUGCCUCCAGACUAACAAAAUGAUAUUUGUGUCCAGAACCAGUUAAAGAGCUGUGGCAGUUCUAAGGAAAGGAGAAUGGUUUGAAAAUGGUAAUGAGGAGAAAGAAUGACACUGACACCAGCUCCAGGUCCCGUGGAAUGAAAUCUAUGGUA